Molecule: ribosomal RNA, 445 nt
Filed under: uncultured bacterium
Lineage: Bacteria
Description: bacterial SSU rRNA
Rfam family: Bacterial small subunit ribosomal RNA
Source: RNAcentral
ACCAGACUCCUACGGGAGGCAGCAGUGGGGGAUAUUGCACAAUGGGGGAAACCCUGAUGCAGCGACGCCGCGUGGGUGAAGAAGCGCCUCGGCGCGUAAAGCCCUGUCAGCAGGGAAGAAAAUGACGGUACCUGAAGAAGCCCCGGCUAACUACGUGCCAGCAGCCGCGGUAAUACGUAGGGGGCAAGCGUUAUCCGGAUUUACUGGGUGUAAAGGGAGCGUAGACGGCGGCGCAAGCCAGAUGUGAAAGCCCGGGGCUCAACUCCGGGACUGCAUUUGGAACUGUGUGGCUGGAGUGCAGGAGGGGCAGGCGGAAUUCCUGGUGUAGCGGUGAAAUGCGUAGAUAUCAGGAGGAACACCGGUGGCGAAGGCGGCCUGCUGGACUGCAACUGACGUUGAGGCCCGAAAGCGUGGGGAGCAAACAGGAUUAGAUACCCCCGUAUUG